UACGAAGGGGGCGAGCGUUGUUCGGAAUUACUGGGCGUAAAGGGCGCGUAGGCGGUCCUUCAAGUCAGGCGUGAAAGCCCCGGGCUCAACCUGGGAACCGCGCUUGAGACUGGCGGACUCGAAUUCGGGAGAGGAUGGUGGAAUUCCCAGUGUAGAGGUGAAAUUCGUAGAUAUUGGGAAGAACACCGAUGGCGAAGGCAGCCAUCUGGACCGACACUGACGCUGAGGCGCGAAAGCGUGGGGAGCAAACAGG
This 253-nucleotide ribosomal RNA is filed under the name uncultured bacterium. RNAcentral describes it as "partial 16S ribosomal RNA". It matches the Rfam family "Bacterial small subunit ribosomal RNA", at positions 524 to 776 of the family's 1533-position model. The record is from RNAcentral.